UACGGGGGGUGCGAGCGUUGUCCGGAAUCACUGGGCGUAAAGGGCGCGUAGGUGGCGUGAUAAGGGUGUGGUGAAAGCCCGGGGCUCAACCCCGGGUCUGCCAUGCCGACUGUCAGGCUAGAGUACUGUAGGGGCAGGCGGAAUUCCGGGUGUAGCGGUGGAAUGCGUAGAGAUCCGGAGGAAGACCGGUGGCGAAGGCGGCCUGCUGGGCAGUUACUGACACUGAGGCGCGAUAGCGUGGGGAGCAAACAGG
RNAcentral lists this ribosomal RNA (253 nucleotides) under uncultured bacterium. RNAcentral's name for it is "partial 16S ribosomal RNA". It matches the Rfam family "Bacterial small subunit ribosomal RNA", at positions 524 to 776 of the family's 1533-position model. The record is from RNAcentral.